GCGUGCCUAACACAUGCAAGUCAAGCGAUCUUCUUCGGAAGAGAGCGGCGGACGGGUGAGUAACGCGUGGGUAACCUGCCCUGUACACACGGAUAACAUACCGAAAGGUAUGCUAAUACGGGAUGAUAUAUGAAAGUCGCAUGGCUUUUAUAUCAAAGCUCCGGCGGUACAGGAUGGACCCGCGUCUGAUUAGCUAGUUGGUAAGGUAACGGCUUACCAAGGCGACGAUCAGUAGCCGACCUGAGAGGGUGAUCGGCCACACUGGAACUGAGACACGGUCCAGACUCCUACGGGAGGCAGCAGUGGGGAAUAUUGCACAAUGGGCGAAAGCCUGAUGCAGCAACGCCGCGUGAGCGAUGAAGGCCUUCGGGUCGUAAAGCUCUGUCCUCAAGGAAGAUAAUGACGGUACUUGAGGAGGAAGCCCCGGCUAACUACGUGCCAGCAGCCGCGGUAAUACGUAGGGGGCUAGCGUUAUCCGGAAUUACUGGGCGUAAAGGGUGCGUAGGCGGUCUUUCAAGCCAGAAGUGAAAGGCUACGGCUCAACCGUAGUAAGCUUUUGGAACUGUAGGACUUGAGUGCAGGAGAGGAGAGUAGAAUUCCUAGUGUAGCGGUGAAAUGCGUAGAUAUUAGGAGGAAUACCAGUAGCGAAGGCGGCUCUCUGGACUGUAACUGACGCUGAGGCACGAAAGCGUGGGGAGCAAACAGGAUUAGAUACCCUGGUAGUCCACGCCGUAAACGAUGAGUACUAGGUGUCGGGGGUUACCCCCCUCGGUGCCGCAGCUAACGCAUUAAGUACUCCGCCUGGGAAGUACGCUCGCAAG
RNAcentral lists this ribosomal RNA (821 nucleotides) under uncultured Clostridium sp. Its description in RNAcentral is "bacterial SSU rRNA". It matches the Rfam family "Bacterial small subunit ribosomal RNA", at positions 42 to 892 of the family's 1533-position model. Lineage: Bacteria; Bacillati; Bacillota; Clostridia; Eubacteriales; Clostridiaceae. The record is from RNAcentral.